AGCGAACGCUGGCGGCAGGCUUAACACAUGCCAGUCGAGCGGGCAUCCUUGUGGUGUCAGCGGCAGACGGGUGAGUAACGCGUGGGAACGUGCCCUUCGGUUCGGAAUAACUCAGGGAAACUUGAGCUAAUACCGGAUACGUGCGAGAGCAGAAAGGUUUAUCUGCCGAAGGAUCGGCCCGCGUCUGAUUAGCUAGUUGGUGAGGUUAUGGCUCACCAAGGCGACGAUCAGUAGCUGGUCUGAGAGGAUGAUCAGCCACACUGGGACUGAGACACGGCCCAGACUCCUACGGGAGGCAGCAGUGGGGAAUAUUGGACAAUGGGGGCAACCCUGAUCCAGCCAUGCCGCGUGAGUGAUGACGGCCUUAGGGUUGUAAAGCUCUUUUCUCCGGGACGAUAAUGACGGUACCGGAGGAAUAAGCCCCGGCUAACUUCGUG
RNAcentral lists this ribosomal RNA (437 nucleotides) under uncultured bacterium. RNAcentral describes it as "partial 16S ribosomal RNA". It matches the Rfam family "Bacterial small subunit ribosomal RNA", at positions 29 to 507 of the family's 1533-position model. The record is from RNAcentral.